CAGCCGCCACGGGAAUACGUAGGUGGCAAGCGUUGUCCGGAAUUAUUGGGCGUAAAGGGCUCGCAGGCGGUUUCUUAAGUCUGAUGUGAAAGCCCCCGGCUCAACCGGGAAGGGUCAUUGGAAACUGGGAAACUUGAGUGCAGAAGAGGAGAGUGGAAUUCCACGUGUAGCGGUGAAAUGCGUAGAGAUGUGGAGGAACACCAGUGGCGAAGGCGACUCUCUGGUCUGUAACUGACGCUGAGGAGCGAAAGCGUGGGGAGCGAACAGGAUUAGAUACCCCUGUAGUCCCUGUCUCUUAUAC
RNAcentral lists this ribosomal RNA (301 nucleotides) under uncultured bacterium. Its description in RNAcentral is "partial 16S ribosomal RNA". It matches the Rfam family "Bacterial small subunit ribosomal RNA", at positions 509 to 807 of the family's 1533-position model. The record is from RNAcentral.